AGUAGGCACCACUCAAAGCGAGAUUCACAUGAGGCUGCCUUUCAUCAAUGAUAAUGAAACUUCAAUAGAAGCAAAAAAUCAAUUUGAGUAUAUAAAAUUA
Molecule: long non-coding RNA, 100 nt
Organism: Ipomoea nil (Japanese morning glory)
Lineage: Eukaryota; Viridiplantae; Streptophyta; Magnoliopsida; Solanales; Convolvulaceae
Exons: 3
Source: RefSeq, a predicted model, not a curated record